CAGCAGCCGCGGUAAUACCAGCCCCGCGAGUGGUCGGGACGGUUAUUGGGCCUAAAGCGCCCGUAGCCGGCCCGGCAAGUCCCUCCUUAAAGCCUCGGGCCCAACCCGAGGACGGGGGGGAUACUGCCGGGCUAGGGGGCGGGAGAGGCCGGCGGUACUCCCGGGGUAGGGGCGAAAUCCGUUAAUCCCGGGAGGACCACCAGUGGCGAAGGCGGCCGGCUGGAACGCGCCCGACGGUGAGGGGCGAAAGCCGGGGGAGCGAACCGGAUUAGAUACCCGGGUAGUCCCGGCGGUAAACGAUGCGGGCUAGCUGUUGGGCGGGCUUAGAGCCCGCCCAGUGGCGCAGGGAAGCCGUUAAGUCCGCCGCCUGGGGAGUACGGCCGCAAGGCUGAAACUUAAAGGAAUUGGCGGG
This 412-nucleotide ribosomal RNA is filed under the name uncultured microorganism. RNAcentral's name for it is "bacterial SSU rRNA". It matches the Rfam family "Archaeal small subunit ribosomal RNA", at positions 459 to 872 of the family's 1478-position model. The record is from RNAcentral.